RNAcentral lists this transfer RNA (76 nucleotides) under Catenovulum adriaticum. Its description in RNAcentral is "Catenovulum sp. TS8 tRNA-Gly". It matches the Rfam family "tRNA". Rfam says of the family: Transfer RNA (tRNA) molecules are approximately 80 nucleotides in length. Their secondary structure includes four short double-helical elements and three loops (D, anti-codon, and T loops). The record is from RNAcentral. Lineage: Bacteria; Pseudomonadati; Pseudomonadota; Gammaproteobacteria; Alteromonadales; Alteromonadaceae.
GCGGCUGUAGCUCAGCUGGUAGAGCACGACCUUGCCAAGGUCGGGGUCACGAGUUCGAGUCUCGUUAGCCGCUCCA